Molecule: long non-coding RNA, 1713 nt
Organism: Colius striatus (speckled mousebird)
Lineage: Eukaryota; Metazoa; Chordata; Aves; Coliiformes; Coliidae
Exons: 5
Source: RefSeq, a predicted model, not a curated record
UCCGCCUCCGUCACCUGUUGCCCGGCUGCCUCCAUCCACGCAGCCCCCCGGCGCCUCCUCCCGCUCCGGCGGCGCCACGGGCUUCUCGGGCUCCCGGGCCACCUCCAUCCCGCUGGGCACCGCCUCCUCCUCCUCCAAGGACUCCACGUAGAAGACGGUGCGGGGCGGCGGCGGCCCUGGCCCGUGCCCUGGCCCGUGCACCCCGCCCGGACGGCCGCCGGCGGACAGCAGCGUCCCGUUGGGUGGACUGGCUGUGGUGGCCGCCGAGGAGGCGGCGGAGGAGGCAGCUUUCUUCCAGAAGGCGCUGCUGCCCCUCUCCUGGCUCUUAAGAAGGCGGCUCUGGCUGGGCCCCCAGUGCUCGAAGCUGCUGUCGGGCGGCAAGCAGCCGCCCCCCGCCGGUCCGCCCGCCGGCGAGGGGUGGCUGAACAGUUUCCAGCGGAGGCGCAGGAUGUGCUUCACGUCGAAGUCUUUCCUGCCGGAGCCGGACAUGGUGCCGCGGCGGGCGGGGGACGGGCGCGGGCUGAGGCGGGACUCACGGCGGCCCAGGCAGGGCCGGGCGGCAGCGGCAGCGGUAGCAGCAGCGCGGGGCGGUUCGGCGGCGGUGGCUCCUCCGGGCAGCGCUGCGCCUGCGGGGCGAGGGGUGGCAGCCGACGGGAGGAGAGCGAUGCGCGUACACGCCAGUGCAGAGGGAGAGAGAAGGAGAAUGGAUGGAGCGACGCGGAGAGCCGAGAGGAGCCACCCCCUGCUCUGCAUGUGACGCAGAUGUGCUCUGGGGCCGUCAGGAAAAAGAGAUGAUCCAGUCUUCCUCGUGCAAGAAAAAAUGGCCUAGGGAUAUAUAUCCUUUUAAUAAAACCUCAAAGUAGUAAAAAGCGAUUCUAAAGAGAAAUACGUUGAAUGAAUUUUCAACUGAGAUUGAACUUUGGAGAAUGAGUUGGCCUUUGGAGAAAGACCUGACCAUGAGAUACUGCUGAUUUCCUUAUUCAAGUGUGCUCCUGUUAGCCAGGAAGAGAAUCAAGCCCAAGCCUUCUUGCCUGCAGGGCUGGCUCUUGUGUUAUGCUCAGAGCAGCAGGCUUUGUCUACAGUCCUGAUGUAGGCUACAGCGAUCAAGUGCUGGGCUGCCAGUUAAGUAUACUCAAACAACACCAGUUUCACCACUAACAUACAUUGUUACCUCUUUCCCUUUGUCUUGACUCUCCUUUUUGCCGUCCCUGUACCUCUCUUUCUAUUCCCCAAUCUCCUCUCAAUUUCUCUCAGUUCCUUUUUCCCUGUUGAUCCACUGUUGCUAUGUCCUUAUCCAAAUUGGUUAUUUCUGUUAUUGUUGCUUGGGAAACCUCAUUCUUGUUUAUUGCUGAUGUGGUUACCUUGGCAUGCUGCUUCCCAAAGGUCCCCAGUACUCCCUCUAAUUACCUGUGAACUUCAGUCAUUUCUCGGAUAACUCUGCCUUAACUACCUGUGCACCCCUGCCAUGCCUCAUGCUGCUCUCUGUAAUGUAAUUCAGCUUCUCACACAGCUGUCAGAUCCAGCAGUUUCCUAUGUUAUGUCAUGUCCUGCUCAGUUAACUUAAUCCCAGGACAUGGUCUAGCCAGCAGUCCAGUCAUGGUCUUGCAGCUUUAACAAGAUUCCACUUGUUAGGCAACUUCAUUGCUACUUAAAGCCGAUCUUCAUGCUUAUGGAUGCUUCUUUUAAGUACAGACUCUUAAUUGUACUUUUAAC